This 208-nucleotide ribosomal RNA is filed under the name uncultured bacterium. Its description in RNAcentral is "partial 16S ribosomal RNA". It matches the Rfam family "Bacterial small subunit ribosomal RNA", at positions 568 to 774 of the family's 1533-position model. The record is from RNAcentral.
UGCGCAGGCGGUUUUGUAAGACAGUGGUGAAAUCCCCGGGCUCAACCUGGGAACUGCCAUUGUGACUGCAAGGCUGGAGUGCGGCAGAGGGGGAUGGAAUUCCGCGUGUAGCAGUGAAAUGCGUAGAUAUGCGGAGGAACACCGAUGGCGAAGGCAAUCCCCUGGGCCUGCACUGACGCUCAUGCACGAAAGGCGUGGGGAGCAAACA